Ictidomys tridecemlineatus (thirteen-lined ground squirrel) is the source of this 108-nucleotide small nuclear RNA. NCBI's taxonomy places the organism in Eukaryota, Metazoa, Chordata, Mammalia, Rodentia, Sciuridae. The record is from Ensembl.
GUGCUCAUUUGGGGAGCAUAUAUACUAAAAUUGGAAUAAUAUAGAAUAGAUUAGCAUUCCCUGUGCAAAUUCAUGAAGCAUUCCACAUGAAAAAAGUUACAAAUAUUU